UACGGGGGGGGCAAGCGUUGUUCGGAAUUACUGGGCGUAAAGGGCUCGUAGGCGGCCAAUUAAGUCAGACGUGAAAUCCCUCGGCUUAACCGGGGAACUGCGUCUGAUACUGGAUGGCUUGAGGUUGGGAGAGGGAUGCGGAAUUCCAGGUGUAGCGGUGAAAUGCGUAGAUAUCUGGAGGAACACCGGUGGCGAAGGCGGCAUCCUGGACCAAUCCUGACGCUGAGUGAGCGAAAGCCAGGGGAGCAAACGGG
RNAcentral lists this ribosomal RNA (254 nucleotides) under uncultured bacterium. Its description in RNAcentral is "partial 16S ribosomal RNA". It matches the Rfam family "Bacterial small subunit ribosomal RNA", at positions 524 to 776 of the family's 1533-position model. The record is from RNAcentral.